Molecule: long non-coding RNA, 3803 nt
Organism: Peromyscus californicus insignis
Lineage: Eukaryota; Metazoa; Chordata; Mammalia; Rodentia; Cricetidae
Exons: 2
Source: RefSeq, a predicted model, not a curated record
UGGCUGUGUGAGUUCGAGGCAAACCUGGUCAAUACAGGGAAUCCAGACUAGCCAGGGCUACGCAGUUCGUCUCAAACAAGAUUUUGUCUGAACAAACCAACCAAGGCAGAGGUGGGAUGGGAGAACGGAGACCUUGACAUCCAACACAGAUGUGACCUGCUCCUACAUCACACUCUCCAGUGCUUGGAAACCCGAGUGGUCUUACCGGGUUUGUUUUGUGGGGGAGACUAGGGCUAGAGCCCGGGUCAUCCCAGGGACUGGGACUAAUGAGCACAGUGAGUGUGGUCCACCCCUCUGGCAGUCCCACUGGAGAUUCCUGAAGUGACUUUGCCCUGCACCAGCCCCCGUGUCUAGAGGGUUGUUGUGGUCUCAGAGGCCAACCUUCCCACACUGGGUCAGCCUUAAUAUGCUUCGUGUGCGUGCACCCUUACCCGGAUCUCCGGGUCAGAUGAUCUCUGAUCAUCUGUGAAGCAGGGCAUGGUGAGGGUCUGGGUGGGAGGUCCGGCAUGCCCCCGGAAAAGGAAGCUGGACAGCAUCUGUCCCAACAGCUACUCACAAACCCACGAGUGUGAGGGCGGGUAGAGUAAGGUGCCACUAGGAGUUGCCCCUGGAAGCACCUAUCCCUGCUCACACCCACCAUGGGGCUUUCGGAGGCCUCUACGUGCUUGUGUUGGGUGGAAAGAACUGGUAAUUGAUGAUUUAGCCCGAGUUUUCACCACUGGGAUCCGAAUGGGGCUCCUGCCACGUUCCCCCUGGCCUCUGGGUCUGGUGUAUGGGGCCGGGGCGGGAGUCUCCCCCUGAAGUUGAGCAUUCCCCACCCUACCUCCUGCAGCCUGUGAGCAGCGCUCUCUAGAGGAGAACUCUUCCAGGCGGGAGAUCCCCUGCGGCUCCCGGCUGGGGGCCUGCCAGCCUGGUAAUUGGUGCAUCGAUUCGCAGCUGGGGUGUAAGGCUCUCGGAUGGGGGCGGGAGUCUCGGGCAAGCCCUGGGGAGACAUUGCCGGAGGGAGGCGGGGAAACCGGUGAUGCCAGGUUAGGGAGGGCCUCCUUGCCUCGCUGAGCCACAGAGAAGGCAUACGGGUAGGAUCCCUGGGGUGGCCAGGGCCGCCCGGGCCCCCUUGGGCCCCUGGAAGAAUUGGUUCCCACCAGCCAACCUGUUCCCACAGCCAGAAGUUGCCAUGGUGACCCCCUCCCACCUUCAGCUACAGCUUUUCCAGUAAAACCACUGCCGAGAUCCAUACUUCCCGACAGGCACGCCUGCGGCCCCCACCCCCCUCGUGGCAGCCGGGAGCAGCUGGGAGUUAACCCUGCAUAUGCCGGGGACUGUUGUUUGGGGGAAAAGGGGAGCGGGAGCCAGUAGUGGGGCCAUGGGUAGGAGCGAAGGUGGACAGGGAAAUGAUCCUGGCCAGCGACUUGAGCAAGUCUGGAACUUGGAGCAGGGAAACCAAGCUGGCCUUGGCUUAGCCAAGCCCCCUGGGCCUCAGGGAGCCCUUGCUGGGGCCCACUGGCAGCCAUACUCCAGUCUCGGCACAAAUUCUCUUUCUGGAGGCAGAAAGGUCCCUCCAGCCUGGAGUUUGGCUUUGCAAGUCAGCCUCCUGUGGGCUGUGGAACCCCAGAGGUCCCAGCUGUGUCCUGCCUUGAGAAGUCCAGAGAAUGACCCCCUGCUUACACGUUUACGGUCUGAGGAAGAAGAUGGUGCUUCUGAAAGGCACUACCCUGCUUGGGCCCCAGGGACCCAUGGUCAGGCCUCUAUCAGGGAAGGGGUCCUUGGGGACACUGAGGCUGCAGGCCCAGGGGGGCUCCAUCUGUGGCUCUGGCGGGCCUCACUCCCACUGUGAGCUGCUGCAGCUCUAAUUGUUCUCUGUAGCCGGAUGAGUAAUUGAGAGGUCUUUGAAGGGAAUUAAUUAGGCCGCUUAUUGACUGUAAAUGCUUGCUGUGGAUGAUAAAGGGGAGGCUGGCCGCCUGUGUGGGCCCGGCUGGGGCACAAUCAGACAUUUCAUUCACAUUCGGCUCCCUCUGGGGGUCAGCUGCUCAGCUUGGCAGGGACCUGACCCCCUUGUCUGUCCUGCCCCCUCCUUCAAGAAGGGACCAGGCAGGCUGAGCCCGGCUUAGUCUUUCCACCUCUACACCCCGCUUCUGGUAUUUGGAGGCAGCACUAACUAUCCCUUAAGUCUUCCCAAAGGUGAGCUGGGGUUCCCCGCAGGAGGAACCCUCCUGUCCCAUGUUGGGAGCCCUUCCCUAGAAUGUUGGGUUGAAGUCCAGAGGCAGGCUGGGGGCAGGUUCUCACCCUCAGCUCUCCGAGAGAGGUACCUGCACUGGGGACCUGCUGUGCUGGCCCUGGGCCCCAUCUGUCCAGCCCACUCCCCUGUCCCAACCCUUUUCUGGGAAGAGGGGAGAGACUGGAAACGGAGCACGCAUUCCCGCCCUCCUAGCUAGGGUCAGAGUGGAAACAGCCUUGUCGUUGGACAGUUAGUGAGGAGGGCAGGACAGUGCUGGGGUGGUGCCUGGCUGGCUUGCCCGGAAAGUGGAAGUGAUAGCCUGGACUGAGAAGUAGCCAUGGUAGCACCCCGUUCAUAUGGCCUCUGCUCCCGGCUGGCCGGUUCUAAGCCAGGUCCAUGCUGACUGACUUGCUGAUUUUGUUUUCCAGUAACUCUGUGCAGAUCUUUUUCGAAGAGCCAGCACUGUGGGAAUAUUGUAGUUUGCAGAGAUGCAGCAGCCUCUGGCUUGGUUAAAGACUGGUUGAAUGAGUGAGUGGAUGUGUUAAGCCCCCUUUUCAUGGAGCCAGAGGACCCAUAUCGUGAGGGAUCUGCCAGGACCAGGGAAUGGCAAUGUUGAUAUCUUGAGGUGAAGUACAGACUCAGCCACUGGGGGACAACACCCUGCCCUCUCCACUCCCCACCCCCCACCUCCCCACCUCUCACCCCCUCACUCCUCCCCUCCACUCCCCAUACCUGAGUGCCAGGCCCAGGAGUUAGCCCUUGAUUCUAGAGCCGCUAUAGUAUCACUGGAUCCUGCGAGACCUUGCAGAUCAGUUCAGGCCUCAAGUGUGGGCACCGGAGCUGGUGCAGAAGGAUGUCGAGUGUGACCUUGCUCCAGAUGGACAGGCCUUGACAGCCCUGAGAUAGCUGGAAGGGAAAAGGCUAUGGAACCAGGUGACUAGAUCUGAAGUUGGGGGACCAGGAGGAGACGGCAGCAGGUGUCCCCUCAGAAGCACAGGGACUUGGCUGUUGCCUUCAGGGAGCUAGGGUUGUAACGAUCCUGGCAGGAGGGACGAUAUUCUUUUGUUUGUUUUUAGACAGGGUUUCUCUGUGUAGCCCUGGCUGUCCUGGAACUUGCUCUGCAGACCAGGCUGGCCUCGAACUCAGAGAGACUGGCCUGCCUCUGCCUCCACCACCAUCUCUGCGUGCACCACCAAACCCCGGCCCAGGAGGGAGAUGCCCUAACAAGACUCUUGCAUCUCGCUUUGGCUGCUAGACUAUUAAGAAGAUGAACCCCAAGAAAUUGGAAUCUCGCCAGGAGUCUUGUGCUGGGAGAAGGGACCAGCCAGAGGGGAGCUUGUCUCCCAGGAAGAGAUUUCACACCAUUCUGGCAACUUGUUAGACCACCUACAGGAGAGAGAAGCUGGGACAAUGAUGAGCCAGUCCCCACCUUGACCAGGACUGCUCAGCUCUCCAUGUCUCUUGCCCUCUGUUUAAACAUAAAGCUCACUCACGCCAGGACCCUUAGAUGGACUCGGAGAUCACUGGACCUCUUUGUGUCUCUUGCUAAUGUGCCCACACUGAAUAAAUCUCCUUUCUCUGCUUUUCA